ACGGGAGGCAGCAGUGGGGAAUAUUGGGCAAUGGGCGCAAGCCUGACCCAGCAACGCCGCGUGAAGGAAGAAGGCUUUCGGGUUGUAAACUUCUUUUGUCAGGGAAGAGUAGAAGACUGUACCUGGCGAAUAAGCCACGGCUAACUACGUGCCAGCAGCCGCGGUAAUACGUAGGUGGCAAGCGUUGUCCGGAUUUACUGGGUGUAAAGGGCGUGUAGCCGGGGAGGCAAGUCAGAUGUGAAAUCUAUGGGCUUAACCCAUAAACUGCAUUUGAAACUGUUUCUCUUGAGUGCUGGAGGGGCAAUCGGAAUUCCUUGUGUAGCGGUGAAAUGCGUAGAUAUAAGGAAGAACACCAGUGGCGAAGGCGGAUUGCUGGACAGUAACUGACGGUGAGGCGCGAAAGUGUGGGGAGCAAACAGGAUUAGAUACCCUGGUA
RNAcentral lists this ribosomal RNA (436 nucleotides) under uncultured Oscillibacter sp. RNAcentral describes it as "bacterial SSU rRNA". It matches the Rfam family "Bacterial small subunit ribosomal RNA", at positions 341 to 792 of the family's 1533-position model. The record is from RNAcentral. Lineage: Bacteria; Bacillati; Bacillota; Clostridia; Eubacteriales; Oscillospiraceae.